RNAcentral lists this ribosomal RNA (497 nucleotides) under uncultured bacterium. Its description in RNAcentral is "partial 16S ribosomal RNA". It matches the Rfam family "Bacterial small subunit ribosomal RNA", at positions 28 to 507 of the family's 1533-position model. The record is from RNAcentral.
GAUGAACGCUGGCGGCGUGCCUAAUACAUGCAAGUCGAGCGAACAGAUAAGGAGCUUGCUCCUUUGACGUUAGCGGCGGACGGGUGAGUAACACGUGGGGAACCUACCUAUAAGACUGGGAUAACUUCGGGAAACCGGAGCUAAUACCGGAUAACAUUUGGAACCGCAUGGUUCUAAAGUGAAAGAUGGUUUUGCUAUCACUUAUAGAUGGACCCGCGCCGUAUUAGCUAGUUGGUAAGGUAACGGCUUACCAAGGCAACGAUACGUAGCCGACCUGAGAGGGUGAUCGGCCACACUGGAAGUGAGACACGGUCCAGACUCCGACGGGAGGCAGAAGUAGGGAAUCUUCCGCAAUGGGCGGAAGCCUGACGGAGCAACGCCGCGUGAGUGAUGAAGGGUUUCGGCUCGUAAAACUCUGUGAUUAGGGAAGAACGAAUGUGUAAGUAACUGUGCACGUCUUGACGGUACCUAAUCAGAAAGCCACGGCUAACUACGUG